Molecule: long non-coding RNA, 580 nt
Organism: Phyllostomus hastatus (greater spear-nosed bat)
Lineage: Eukaryota; Metazoa; Chordata; Mammalia; Chiroptera; Phyllostomidae
Exons: 3
Source: RefSeq, a predicted model, not a curated record
GCAUUUAGGCUGGCAUAGGUACAGUAACAGGAAGUUCCUGUCUUCAGUUGAGGACACUGGAGAAAAGCAAUGUGUGCCAGUCAAUAUGAGCACAUGAAACCUUGUAUAAUAUACACACAUAUUAAAGUAGCCUAUGAGUUAAAGCACAGGUGGCAAACACAAGGCCAGGGGGGCCAAAUCUGGCCCUCCAUAUUGUUUAUCCUGCCGGGCCCCUUGUUUCUACCCUGCGGCAGCUCGAGCUCUCACUUAACAGGAAGACCAUGCAGUGAGUAGGAUGGAUGGAAGGAGGAUACAUCAAGCAGACAGACCAGUUUGAACACUUUUGAAAUAAUCUAAGUAAAAGGUUUUAAGCAUCUGAGUCAGUUCAACACAGACCAAACAAGAAAGGACUUUGGGUUCAAACUGGAUGGAGGUCCUGGCGUAAUCCAUGGCCUUAACUGGGUUGCCAGUUGGUCGUGGCCAGUGGAAGGAGCCAGACGGUGAGAGACAAAUACCACAAGAUCUCACCUAAAAGUGGAAUCUAAUCAGUAAAACAAACAAGCAAGCAAAAUAUAACCAGAGACAUUGAAAUGAAGAACAA